Molecule: unclassified non-coding RNA, 294 nt
Filed under: Saitozyma sp.
Lineage: Eukaryota; Fungi; Basidiomycota; Tremellomycetes; Tremellales; Trimorphomycetaceae
Description: partial contains 5.8S ribosomal RNA, internal transcribed spacer 2, and large subunit ribosomal RNA
Rfam family: 5.8S ribosomal RNA (bases 1-71)
Source: RNAcentral
GUGAAUCAUCGAAUCUUUGAACGCACCUUGCGCCCUCUGGUAUUCCGGAGGGCAUGCCUGUUUGAGUGUCAUGUAGACUCAAUCGCUCGGGUUUCCGAGGAGAUUGGACUUGGGUGUUGCCGCUCUGCCGGCUCGCCUUAAAAGACUUAGCGGGAUAGCACCGUAGUCGGCGUAAUAAGUUUCGUCGGUGAAGGUUGUGAUGACUGCUUACAAUCGCCCUCGGGCAAUUUUUGACUCUGACCUCAAAUCAGGUAGGACUACCCGCUGAACUUAAGCAUAUCAAUAAGCGGAGGA